Molecule: long non-coding RNA, 572 nt
Filed under: Astyanax mexicanus (Mexican tetra)
Lineage: Eukaryota; Metazoa; Chordata; Actinopteri; Characiformes; Acestrorhamphidae
Description: lncRNA (ENSAMXG00005019919.1)
Source: RNAcentral
AGGGGUGGUUAGAUCUUGUCUCUAUGAUCAGGAUCAUGAGAUUUCCUCUCUUCACAUUUACAGAAAUACACAGACAAGCCUGGAAAUCUCUCUGACCUCCAGGAACUGGAGCAGGCCACAGACUUAGGUGGACAUCCCCCACUCCCUCGUGGGAUUUUUAUCCCACCCUUCCUGAGGUGUGGGUGUGGGUGCUGGAGCAGAAGAAAAUUCAAAUGUGCAGAGGAAUGGUACACCUGGACCAGCACUGUAAAGCAGUGGAGCAGAGGACGAGUGUGAGGAGUGUGUGAGGUGACUUCUAAUGAUCAACAAGAAGAACAUUCCGGAAGGUGUGUAAACACUCCAGCCAGCGGCGGACUCGAGCAGCGAGGCUGGGCGGCGAGGGCUAAUAGCGAGCGACGGUGAGUUUGACAGAUGCCUGAGCCGAUGACCAUCUGCCCUGAACAGCAGAGGUGCUGAACUGCAGAUUUCAGCCUGUUCCCUCCAUGCUAGCCCCCGAAAACCAAGCCCGAGGAGGAGGAGGAGGAGGCCCCUGGACAAAGGGGGCGAAGCGGUGCAGGAGCCGGGCCUCGGCU